Molecule: long non-coding RNA, 215 nt
Filed under: Prunus persica (peach)
Lineage: Eukaryota; Viridiplantae; Streptophyta; Magnoliopsida; Rosales; Rosaceae
Description: long non-coding RNA (PPER_LNC000915)
Source: RNAcentral
AACUCGCAGGAUUCAGGGGACCGUAGUCCACCUUUAUCCGCAUUACUCGCUCCACACGAGUUCGAGUACUAAAGAACUCGUGGGGGCAACUGUCAAGCAUGCUGACUAAACCGAAGGCAACAAAUAUAAUCCGAAGGCAACAUUUAAUAACUGGGUACAAGGUGAUUUAAGAAAAUAUAAAGUGUUUGAAGCAAAACUGUUGAAUAAGUAACUUU